Ictidomys tridecemlineatus (thirteen-lined ground squirrel) is the source of this 6846-nucleotide non-coding RNA. Lineage: Eukaryota; Metazoa; Chordata; Mammalia; Rodentia; Sciuridae. The record is from RefSeq and is a predicted model, not a curated record.
CUGGAGACUGUGGAAAGAAAAAGGAUGCAUGUUCCAUGCUUGGAAUAAAUGGCAGAAGGACCUUCCUUGACGACAUCCAUGGCUCCAGACAGACAAACCAACAUCAAACCAAGUGCAGAUCUGACCAAAACCCCUUCCCUGAAGGACCCUCAUUUAAAUGCAUUUUCAUUGAUCGAACACAAUUUUAAGCACAUUUUGAACCACCUGUGAACAUUUUUUUGUAUGCAAAUUUGUGCAGGCCCAAUAAGAGAAGAGCUUAGGAGUAUGUUAGUUUCUAGUCCAAAAAUGUAUAUAUGCUGUUUACCUCUUGAUUUCUUUGCCACGGUGGGAUCACCACCUUGCUAUACUCAUCAGAGUAGUAAGGGAUUCUUCCUAACCCUUUCUUUGUUAGCUGUGUUUGAGCUAAAAGACCUGCUGAGCUGGUGACAAUAUAUAGAGAGGCCCUAAGUGCCCUUCACAAGUGUUCCCCAGUGCUUACCCCAAUGGAGCUACAGUACAGAAUCACAACUAGUGAUGUGACCUUGCUAUGAUGUACACAUGCCAUUCUGUGCCAUCUCAGCGUGGCUUACAGAUUCUUGUAGCCACCACCACAAACAAGAUACAGAGCUAUUUCAUUACACAAAGAUCUACUGGUGUCCAUAUUCUGUCAGUUUGAAAUACAUGUAGAAACAUUAUUUUCCUUUAAGACCUUGAACCUUUCCCACUUAUAAUUUUAUUAGAUUCUUCUUUGAUAGACAUUAGAUCCACAUGCAGAUAAUGCUAUGUGUUUUACUUCAGUUGUCAAACAUAAUUUGGAAAACUCGAGAAGGAAAAUCUAUUGUUCAAUCCAGGUCAUCUCUAUUUUUUUCUAUCUUCAACUUCAUUGAUUUUUUUUUAGUAGUUUUGUAUUCUUCAUUUUAAUAUUUCCAUUUUUGUUCUUCUUUUUAUCUUCUAAGAUUUUUUUUCCCGUUUUGGUUUCAAGUGUAUUUAUAAUUGCUUCUUUGAAGUAGUUUUAUGAUUCUUUCAAAUCCUUGUCGGAUAGUUCCAAUAUCUGAAUCACCUCAGUAUUGUCAUCUGCUGAUUGUCUUUUUCUAUUUAAGACAGUUCUCUGGAACAGGUGGAUGUUACUUUACUUGGGAAGAGACCAUUCAAUUUAGGAUCUCAGAGGGAGGUGUUGAUCCUGGAUUACCCAGGUGAUCUCUUCCAUAUAUACUCUCACCCUGUAAUGCCAUCUUCCACAAAGUCCUCACCAGAGAUGAGGUCUCACUGAGCUUAAACUGGUGAUUCUCUAGCCUCGGUUUCGUGAAUAGCUGGGAUUAUAGGAAUGCACCACCAUGCCUGCUCACAUGAUGUUGGCAUUCGGCUUGAGAGAGUCAGUUGUCAGUCUCCAUGCCCCGAAGACCUCUUUGACCAGUGGCAACUGAGCAACAUUGCAACAGGGAGUAGUUUCUAACAGUUUGAUCUGUACCAACUUUUGAAUUAGCCAAAUGUCCUAUUUUUCAUUGAAUAUGUAGCACUGCUUUUGUUCAGUAACCCAGUGGGGCCUGGCUGGUAGGCAGGAGUGGACAUGUCCUUUUGUUAUGGCUUGAAUUCUCAUCUGUGAGAACAUACUCCUUCAGGUGGCAGUGAUGCCGUGGGCCACAAGUGGUCAAAACACCAAUAGCCGUAAGUACUCUGUGGUGGGAACCACGGUCUCUGGAGCCCAAAGUGGCUCAUUGGGCCCUGCCCACAAGCAGAUAAGCACCACAGGUGGUUGUGUUUAUCUCUAAACUUCCUGAUUUCAUCAAUUUAAUUUUCCCCCAGAAAUAUUUUCAUAUGAGUUCCAGUACACAAGAGCCCCAGGAAAGUCUGAAUUGAGUCCCUUUCUUUCCCUUUUUAUCUUGAUGGAUAGAUUAGGGCGUUGACUUCUAGAGGGGACCUAGGACUUUGGCAUCAUUUCCAAUUGCACCAUUCAGCCUGAGACAUUUGAGUCAGUAGUGUCCCUUUAUCAAACAAACACACAGCCAGCCUGCACACCAGUUGGGAUGUAUGAGACUCUCUGGCUUCUUCCAUAUCCAUCCUUUAGAUAGGUUCCCACGGUGGAGGUCCACACUCCAUGCAUUGGUUUUUCUCAGGUGUCCCAGGGACUGUUUUGAGUCCUCUUUCUCCAUCUCUGUCAUGUGCCUCAGAGUCCAUAUGUUCCUGCCGUGUGAGCUUUCUAGUCUCAGAAUAAGCAGUCACAUAAGUACCCAACAAAUUGUGUGCCUCACUUCUCUGUUUCCACAUUCUGUUCUCCCUGCCUCAGUCCUUGCAGCCAACCCAUCCAUAUCUGUGGGGUUUGGGAUACAGGAGGUAACCUGUGUCCUACCUAUCACGAUUCUUUCCCCAUGCCUCAUCCAGCCGCAUGACCGGUCUGUGCUCCCAGACUAAAGUUUCCAUCCUGGGUUGGGUACGGGGAGGUACUUUCCCUUCCACUUCACUAGAAAGCCUUCAUACUCAUAGCACCAAUUUUGUGAAGCAGGCUCAUUAAUGACCAAUUCCAAGGGAGGGCUCCCACCGCGUGGAGGAUAGCUACCACUAGAGGUGUGUGUAGGAGACUGAACACUUCCAACCUCUGCAACCUGGGCUGCAGUGUUACUCAUGCCUGUGCCUGGCGAGACAGAACACACUCAUGUGCACUAAGCUAUGUGAACCAGGCUUAUUACUUAUAACAGGCAGCAAGGGACAAAAGAAGACUUUCCAUUGGGGCUGGUCCUCCAAGUUUCAAAAAAAGCUGCCUGAUGCGGAGGAAGUCUUGCCUGUGCAUGUCCUACUUGCACCACUGCUGGGGAACCUUGAAAGGCAGCCCUCCCCACCCCAGGAUUAUACACCUCAAAGGCAAUGUGACUCACUGGGCAAAGCUCUGAAGGACAUCCAGAGGGGAAAGAACAAAUCCUGGGCUGUCUGGGGAAGUUCCUCCCUAGCCCGAAAUGUUCCAUUCCCUAGGAAGGGCAGGAAUGAGGCCUGGUCUGCUUCAGGCCCUUCUUCCCUAUCCCAGGAUACUCCCUUCCUAGCACAUUCUAAUUAUUCUUGAGAACUCCAAAAAAAGAAGGGCGAUUCGGUUUGACCCAAGGAUACCUGGAGAACUGUCUUGUACUAACAUUCUAGAGGUGUCCUUAAGAGGUGGACGGUCAUUUCUGCUACCCUAAACCACACCCCAGUCUCCAACCUCUUCCUCCCCGGGAUGCAAACAGAAAGUGGUAUGGACAUGAAAAGAGAAAGAGCAUUUAUGAAGUCAUGUGUCCCCAGCCAAAGGAUCAAGGGCUGUGCCUUUUGUCCUUAAAGUGAGAGGUUUUCAAGAUAAUCACUCACAGAAAUUGGUGAACUGUCAAGAAGAGACUAACAUCUCAAUUUCCAGAUAUCUGCUAACAAGCUUGUGGAUUUGUUCUUUGUGAUCACUGGAGCAGGGAGAGAAGGCUGACAGGGAAAGAGCCAUCAUUCUGACCAUUUGAGUUAGCAAGCAUAUAGGAGUCAAACGAACAGUGUUGAAAUAAGUGUGAGUUUCCUGUGAAUCAGAUGAAGGUCCAGUUAACUCAACAGGACUUGAGCUAGCUUGGUGGUUUUUCUCCCAGGAGAACUGGCAACUAAGCCAGGGACCUAGCUAAACUGCCAAGGGCAGAAAUUGAGUGACUGUGGGAAACAGUUAAGCUUGAUAGUAUUUCCUAUCAGGAGUCUGUACACCGGAAAGACGUCCCAGGAAACUAACCCAUGUGCCCAUGAGAACUAGCAUUUGGGGAACUUACCAACAGAGGGUAGUCAUAAUCUCCAGUCAGCCUCCACCUGUGGGCAGAGACCAACAGAUGAUUGCAAUUACAUGCCCAAUUAGGCAAAAGAAUGUUUUUGCCCUCACUCUCAUUUUCUCUAGUUCUUCUUCUCAGGCUCAUCACAGCAAGUCAUUUAGAGAAAAAAAGAUUUCUAUUACAUGACACAAUAUGCCACUUCCCCAAACAAAGGAGUGAGGUUGAAAUUUUUAAAGUGUUCAACAUCAGACUGAACUUCUAAUAACUAAACAGAAAAUGACAGAGUCUCUCGGGACGGGAAGGGAAGACCUAAGAGUGUAAUGGAAGGCACCAGUUAAAAAACAACUCAAGAUUAUAGUCAGGAAAGUUCAGGAUAUUCCUUAUAUUGUUUGUAAAUAUCCCAAAAUACCUGGGAACAAGAGGCAGUCUGGUGUGCUAAAGAAAUCGAUAAUACUUGAAAAUGACUGGAACACAGAGGGAGGGAAGGAAGGCCAGGGAAAUAGGAAGAGGUCAGGAUUUUAUUCUCAGGCAAGGAGAAGUCUUGAAAUGUUUUAAUGAUCAAACAUCCAUCUUAUACUGAUCCAACGGGGGAUGUGGUGGGGCCUCGAGACAGGGAACUCAUUGAAGCAAAGUGAUCCGUAAAUAGCCAUAUGAUAAGAAACGUGGAAAAAUUAUAGGUUGUGGGAAACUGCAGACUGAUACUGGUUUGAGAGAAAAGCCAAAGCAUCUUCUCCUUCCAGUUGUUACUCCAAACACUGUUCAAUUUCCAAUUUCUGCUGAGAUUUUUGAUUCUCUGGAGCGCUGUGCUUAGGCAGGCAGACUGACCUAGAAACUGCUGCCCCACGGGGACACAGACGGCUGUGGGCCCAGCAGAACCACUUCCACAGACCCAUCUCAGCAGCAAGAGGACGCUCGCAGCAGCUCCAAACACCAGAGAUAGGCGGCCGCCCUUUCAAAGUGCGCAUGCGUCUUACAUCAACUUCGCUUGACAAGGUGAGGAAGUGCGCAUGUGUUAUACGCCGGAGGACCGCCCCGGCGAAAGUGGCGGCGUACGCAUGUGCAGCAGACCCAAGGCCCGCCCCGGAAGAGGAGGGGCGAGGCCGCUUUCUCAGUGGAGUCGGCCGGACUUCUACGUCCGCCUGGCAAACCUGCGUUGUGCUUGCGGAACGUAGGCCGCCACACAUCCGAUGUCACUCUAAACGUUGCACCGUCGGCGUCCCCGAGGGUCACAAGACUCGCGGGACCAGAAGCGCCGACUGGCCGAGGCCCUUGACUAAGUCCUGGGCUAGUGAACAGCGGAAGGGGUUGGGCCGCUUGGCCUGCGCGGGGAGCCCGUGGGCGUGGUGGUUCUGGGCGCCGCAACCGGGUUUGCAGACUGGGCUGUGAGGCCAGUCGGAGGUGUCUCGGGGAAGUUGCGUGCACAGAGCAGCGUGGCCUAGCAGCGCGGUUGUGGUUUUGUUUAGCUGUUUCUCUUUCCGGUCAGACUUGACCCUGGUCACGCCUUCAAGGAUGCUUAGUUCCUUAGUAACUUUGACCUCCCCUAUUAGAAGACUCCCUGUCGCUCAAGGACCCGCUUCAUUAACCCAGACUGGCUCUUGCUCGUCUUAAGUACCCUACCUCCCUCUUCCUCACACGCAGUCCGCAGUGUUUUCAUGCUUCUUUCCUUUUUUUUUUUUUUCCUGGCAGAGACCCUUUAAUACUAUGUCCUGACCCAGGAGUCACGUCAAGCACCCCAAGAAGAGGAUCCCAUUGUGAAUGCGUGUAGAUGCAGGCAGAUCUGACCCAUCCCCCUUCAGCAGCCGUGCACCUCACUUCUUUUUUUUCUUCUCUUUUGAGAGUUGUUUCUUUUCGGAUUCCACUUCUGUGUAGCCUCUUUUAAGUCUGGUAGGUGAUUUUUUGGUCCUGGAAACUACCAUUUUGUCUUUUGCUUCCACAGAUUAAUAAUACAACAAAGAGACCAACCCUGGGUUGGGAACCGAAAGAAACUGGAGAGAAAAAGUGAGGAAACUGCUGGAUUAGGUUUGCUAAAAGCGAGAUAAAUGGUGAAAGAGAGGGAAGAGAGCAAACAUUUUCUUCUUGUGCUUCAAAAAAAAAAAACUGUUAAGUGCUGACUGCAAGGCUGUGUGGGUUCUGUGCUGGGAAUGCCUUAGCCAGCAUCUACCUAGAGGCUGGGAGUCCUAUCCAGUAGGACUCAGGCAUCCAGGUUUUGUUGGCAUCACAUUUCCAUGGAUCUGAAUGGAUACUGGAACAUUACGAGAAGGUCAGUAAGUGCUUUACAGCAUGCAAACUGAAGGAAGUUCAGCAUUAGGAAGAAAAGUGAAGCACCUACUUAGGAAGAGUGAGCCAUUUAUUCCCCCAUGAUGUCAUUGCCUGAGAAGCAUUCCCCAGGGAAUUUCCUGUACACACAGGGAGUUUGGAAAGAGCGUCAGUUAGCAUACCAUCUUUUCUCAGCCUCAGAAGAAUGUAAGUAAAGGAGAAGUGCCAUAUGUAUGUCCAGUGGCAAAGCUGCUUUCAGUACAUCCAGCACCAGAGUCCUCAUGGACUAAAAAAUCUUGUAGUGAGUUUGAGAAAAGGUUUGGCAAAACUCUACACAGCAUUGGAGAAACCUAUAAAUACAAUGACAGGGACAGUUUUCAUUUGACUUUGAGAGCUGAUUGCUUAUCAGAGAACAGACAUUUUUUUUACCAUCUUUUAGGAAGAAGGGAACCUGACUGAAACAUGAGAGAAAAUAUCGAAGAAAGAAAGUGCUUCUUUAGGCUUUCUAGAAGGAUAACUGAGCAUGCCUUUCAGAUAUUGGUUAGUUUUCAAGAAAAGAAAAGAAAGUGCCGGGCUGGGGUUGUGGCUCAAGUGGUAGCACUCUCGCCUGGCGUACAUGCGGCCCGGGUUCGAUCCUCAGCACCACAUACAAACAAAGGUGUCCGCUGAAAACUAAAAAUAAAUAUUAAAAAAUUCUCUCUCUCUCACUCUCUCUUUAAAAAAAAAAAAAAAGAAAGACAGUGCCAGUUUAAACUAUGGGCUCUUGGGAUGGGGAUGUGGUUCAAGCGGUAGCACGCUCGCCUGGCAUGCGUGCGGCCCGGGUUCGAUCCUCAGCACCACGUACAAACAGAGA